Homo sapiens (human) is the source of this 867-nucleotide long non-coding RNA. The record is from Ensembl. NCBI's taxonomy places the organism in Eukaryota, Metazoa, Chordata, Mammalia, Primates, Hominidae.
CUCUAGCUGCCCUGGGCACCCUGGAGUUCACACUUCUUUUUGAAGCGGACAACAGUGCCCUGCAUUGCACGGCUCAUCGUGCCAAGGGCCUCAAGCCAUUGGCCUCAGGCUCCGCGGAUGCCUAUGUCAAAGCCAAUCUGCUGCCAGGGGCCAGCAAGGCCAGCCAGCUUCGGACACACACCGUUCGGGGCACGAGGGUACCUGUCUGGGAGGAGACACUCACCUAUCACGGCUUCACCCGCCAGGAUGCUGAGUGCAAGACCCUUAGGCUGUGUGUGUGCGAGGACCCAUGGUACAGCGACAGUGGCAGGCACCUUCCCUGGGGGAGCUGCGGGUGCCCCUGAGGAAGCUGGUGCCAAACCGAGCCAGGAGCUUUGACAUCUGUCUGGAGAAGCGGAGGCUGGCCAAGAGGCCCAAGAGCCUGGACACAGCCUGUGGCAUGUCCCUCUAUGAGGAAUUCUUUUACUCAGGCCCACGGGAGGAGCUGGCCCAGAAGACGCUGCUGGUGUCUGUGUGGGACUAUGACCUAGGCACGGCUGAUGACUUCAUUGGCGGGGUGCAGCUGGGCAGCCAUGCCAGUGGGGAGCGCCUGCGGCACUGGCUUGAGUGCCUGGGCCACAGUGACCACCGCCUGAAGCUGUGGCACCCGCUGGACAGCAAGCCUGUCCAGCUCAGCGACUAGCCCAUGGGCCCUGCCUGCCGCCCCUCCACUACAGCUGCCUGAAACGUCCCCACAAAAAUGAUGGCGGCUGGGGCUGCCUUACCCUCAUGCCCAGCCCCAAGUCAGAGAGGUGUUUCCUCUCUCCCCGCUUUCACAUUCACCCCACCCCAAAUCAUGGAGCCGAAAUAAACAUCUCCUUCAAGCCA